This 477-nucleotide ribosomal RNA is filed under the name uncultured bacterium. RNAcentral describes it as "partial 16S ribosomal RNA". It matches the Rfam family "Bacterial small subunit ribosomal RNA", at positions 28 to 507 of the family's 1533-position model. The record is from RNAcentral.
GACUAACGCUGGCGGCGUGCAUAACACAUGCAAGUCGAACGAUGAAACUUUAAUGAACCCUUCGGGGAGAAUUAAAGCGGAUUAGUGGCGAACGGGUGAGUAACGCGUGAGUAACCUGCCUUACACAAGGGGAUAGCCUUUGGAAACGAAGAAUAAUACCCUAUAAAACCAUAAAAGCACAUGCAAUUACGGUCAAAGUGAUAGCGGUGUAAGAUGGACUUGCGUCUGAUUAGCUAGUUGGUGAGAUAAAAGCCCACCAAGGCAACGAUCAGUAGCCGGCUUGAGAGAGUGUACGGCCACAUUGGGACUGAGACACGGCCCAGACUCCUACGGGAGGCAGCAGUGGGGAAUUUUGCACAAUGGGGGAAACCCUGAUGCAGCGACGCCGCGUGAUUUAGAAGGCCUUCGGGUUGUAAAAAUCUUUUGUAUAGGAAGAAAAUGACAGUACUAUACGAAUAAGGUCCGGCUAAUUACGUG